AGAUUGAACGCUGGCGGCAGGCCUAACACAUGCAAGUCGAGCGGUAGAGAGGUGCUUGCACCUCUUGAGAGCGGCGGACGGGUGAGUAAAGCCUAGGAAUCUGCCUGGUAGUGGGGGAUAACGCUCGGAAACGGACGCUAAUACCGCAUACGUCCUACGGGAGAAAGCAGGGGGACCUUCGGGCCUUGCGCUAUCAGAUGAGCCUAGGUCGGAUUAGCUAGUUGGUGAGGUAAUGGCUCACCAAGGCGACGAUCCGUAACUGGUCUGAGAGGAUGAUCAGUCACACUGGAACUGAGACACGGUCCAGACUCCGUACGGGAGGCAGCAGGUGGGAAUAGUGGACAGUGGGCGAAAGCCGUAGAUCCAGCCAUGCCGUCGUGGUGUGAAGAAGGUUCUU
This 397-nucleotide ribosomal RNA is filed under the name uncultured soil bacterium. RNAcentral describes it as "bacterial SSU rRNA". It matches the Rfam family "Bacterial small subunit ribosomal RNA", at positions 26 to 419 of the family's 1533-position model. The record is from RNAcentral.